RNAcentral lists this ribosomal RNA (1372 nucleotides) under uncultured bacterium. RNAcentral describes it as "bacterial SSU rRNA". It matches the Rfam family "Bacterial small subunit ribosomal RNA", at positions 28 to 1381 of the family's 1533-position model. The record is from RNAcentral.
GAUGAACGCUGGCGGCGUGCCUAAUACAUGCAAGUCGAGCGAACGGACGAGAAGCUUGCUUCUCUGAUGUUAGCGGCGGACGGGUGAGUAACACGUGGAUAACCUACCUAUAAGACUGGGAUAACUUCGGGAAACCGGAGCUAAUACCGGAUAAUAUUUUGAACCGCAUGGUUCAAAAGUGAAAGACGGUCUUGCUGUCACUUAUAGAUGGAUCCGCGCUGCAUUAGCUAGUUGGUAAGGUAACGGCUUACCAAGGCAACGAUGCAUAGCCGACCUGAGAGGGUGAUCGGCCACACUGGAACUGAGACACGGUCCAGACUCCUACGGGAGGCAGCAGUAGGGAAUCUUCCGCAAUGGGCGAAAGCCUGACGGAGCAACGCCGCGUGAGUGAUGAAGGUCUUCGGAUCGUAAAACUCUGUUAUUAGGGAAGAACAUAUGUGUAAGUAACUGUGCACAUCUUGACGGUACCUAAUCAGAAAGCCACGGCUAACUACGUGCCAGCAGCCGCGGUAAUACGUAGGUGGCAAGCGUUAUCCGGAAUUAUUGGGCGUAAAGCGCGCGUAGGCGGUUUUUUAAGUCUGAUGUGAAAGCCCACGGCUCAACCGUGGAGGGUCAUUGGAAACUGGAAAACUUGAGUGCAGAAGAGGAAAGUGGAAUUCCAUGUGUAGCGGUGAAAUGCGCAGAGAUAUGGAGGAACACCAGUGGCGAAGGCGACUUUCUGGUCUGUAACUGACGCUGAUGUGCGAAAGCGUGGGGAUCAAACAGGAUUAGAUACCCUGGUAGUCCACGCCGUAAACGAUGAGUGCUAAGUGUUAGGGGGUUUCCGCCCCUUAGUGCUGCAGCUAACGCAUUAAGCACUCCGCCUGGGGAGUACGACCGCAAGGUUGAAACUCAAAGGAAUUGACGGGGACCCGCACAAGCGGUGGAGCAUGUGGUUUAAUUCGAAGCAACGCGAAGAACCUUACCAAAUCUUGACAUCCUUUGACAACUCUAGAGAUAGAGCUUUCCCCUUCGGGGGACAAAGUGACAGGUGGUGCAUGGUUGUCGUCAGCUCGUGUCGUGAGAUGUUGGGUUAAGUCCCGCAACGAGCGCAACCCUUAAGCUUAGUUGCCAUCAUUAAGUUGGGCACUCUAAGUUGACUGCCGGUGACAAACCGGAGGAAGGUGGGGAUGACGUCAAAUCAUCAUGCCCCUUAUGAUUUGGGCUACACACGUGCUACAAUGGACAAUACAAAGGGCAGCGAAACCGCGAGGUCAAGCAAAUCCCAUAAAGUUGUUCUCAGUUCGAAUUGUAGUCUGCAACUCGACUACAUGAAGCUGGAAUCGCUAGUAAUCGUAGAUCAGCAUGCUACGGUGAAUACGUUCCCGGGUCU